RNAcentral lists this ribosomal RNA (245 nucleotides) under uncultured Oscillospiraceae bacterium. RNAcentral describes it as "partial 16S ribosomal RNA". It matches the Rfam family "Bacterial small subunit ribosomal RNA", at positions 524 to 768 of the family's 1533-position model. Lineage: Bacteria; Bacillati; Bacillota; Clostridia; Eubacteriales; Oscillospiraceae. The record is from RNAcentral.
UACGUAGGUGGCGAGCGUUGUCCGGAUUUACUGGGUGUAAAGGGCGUGUAGCCGGGUUGGCAAGUCAGAUGUGAAAUGCAUAGGCUUAACCUAUGGACUGCAUUUGAAACUGUUGAUCUUGAGUAUCGGAGAGGCAAUUGGAAUUCCUAGUGUAGCGGUGAAAUGCAUAGAUAUUAGGAGGAACACCAGUGGCGAAGGCGGAUUGCUGGACGACAACUGACGGUGAGGCGCGAAAGUGUGGGGAG